This is a long non-coding RNA of Xenia sp. Carnegie-2017, 739 nucleotides long. RefSeq lists it as uncharacterized. The record is from RefSeq and is a predicted model, not a curated record. The transcript is spliced from 3 exons. NCBI's taxonomy places the organism in Eukaryota, Metazoa, Cnidaria, Anthozoa, Malacalcyonacea, Xeniidae.
ACUAUAAAAAUGUAUGGCGGAUAACGUUUACAAACAAGGAUUUUCGAAGAUUUAAGACAUUUCGCGACGUUUUACUUAUCUCAAAUAUCUGUCAUGGAUAAAUAAAGUUAUUUAAAUCAACGUGACAUCAAAAUUAUUUCGAUACCUGUAAAAUAUCGGCGUUCAUUUGAAAAUCGCUCGUGCAAGAAUCGAAUUUGCCUCAUAGUUGCCAAGACAAGAUAAUGCACAGCUCGCUUUCCAAGUUUAGAGGCAGUUAUGAUCUAGAAUAUGUUUCAAUGCGCAAAAACUGUGAUAAUAUUAUCACUACACCUUGCUACAGCAUUUGGAUAUGGUAUUCAUCAGUACGUAUGGUUGUUAUUGUCAUAACAUGCAGGGGCGGAUCUAGGAUUGGAAAGCAUGCACACUACCUGUGCAGCUUAUAUUGUUGUUAUUUACCUGGUCACUGAACCGUUUAUGUACCUGUAUAUACGCUAAUGGUGGAGUAUUUUAUCUCAUGAUCCUACGCGAUAUCAUUUCAAGACUCAACAUGUUGAGAACGUUUGCACACAUCGUUUAGCAUCACUCAUCAAACAAAAAACAAUGUUUAGCGCAUGUUGAGUCAACAUAUUGAGAACGUUUGCACGUUGCUAUGAUAACCCAAGUUGCCAAAGGAUUUUUUAUGUCACAAGACAUGACAAUAUACGUAAAGCGAUGUAUUAUUUUUUAGAACUCAAAGAGUAAUUAUAAUUAUAGUUGUUAA